Molecule: ribosomal RNA, 351 nt
Filed under: uncultured bacterium
Lineage: Bacteria
Description: partial 16S ribosomal RNA
Rfam family: Bacterial small subunit ribosomal RNA
Source: RNAcentral
CCUACGGGAGGCAGCAGUGGGGAAGAUUGCACAAUGGGGGAAACCCUGAUGCAGCGACGCCGCGUGGAGGAAGAAGUAUUUCGGUAUGUAAACUUCUAUCAGCAGGGAAGAAGAAAUGACGGUACCUGAGUAAGAAGCACCGGCUAAAUCCGUGCCAGCAGCCGCGGUAAUACGUAGGGUGCAAGCGUUAUCCGGAUUUACUGGGUGGAAAGGGAGCGCAGGCGUCACGGCAAGCCUGAUGUGAAAGCCCGCGGCCCAACCGCGGGACGGCCUUGGGAACGACCGGGCUGGAGUGCCGGAGAGGUAGGCGUACUUCCUCUUGUCGCGGUGACAUGCGUAGAUCUUAGUCGG